GACCUGAGCUCAGUCGAGGUCACCCGCUGAACUUAAGCAAAU
Molecule: ribosomal RNA, 42 nt
Filed under: Meloidogyne hapla
Lineage: Eukaryota; Metazoa; Nematoda; Chromadorea; Rhabditida; Meloidogynidae
Description: partial 28S ribosomal RNA
Source: RNAcentral